GAUGAAGAACGCAGCGAAAUGCGAUAACUAAUGUGAAUUGCAGAAUUCAGUGAAUCAUCGAGUCUUUGAACGCACAUUGCGCCCCCUGGUAUUCCGGGGGGCAUGCCUGUCCGAGCGUCAUUGCUGCCCUCAAGCACGGCUUGUGUGUUGGGCUCCGUCCCCCCGGGGACGGGCCCGAAAGGCAGCGGCGGCACCGAGUCCGGUCCUCGAGCGUAUGGGGCUUUGUCACCCGCUCUGUAGGCCCGGCCGGCGCCAGCCGACAACCCAUCAUCCUUUUCAGGUUGACCUCGGAUCUGGUAGGGAUACCCGCUGAACUUAAGCAUAUCAAUAAGCGGAGGA
Molecule: unclassified non-coding RNA, 339 nt
Filed under: soil metagenome
Description: partial contains 5.8S ribosomal RNA, internal transcribed spacer 2, and large subunit ribosomal RNA
Rfam family: 5.8S ribosomal RNA (bases 1-120)
Source: RNAcentral